AGAGUUUGAUCCUGGCUCAGAACGAACGCUGGCGGCGUGCUUAACACAUGCAAGUUGGACGAGAAAGCUCAGAGAUGGGCAAGUAAAGUGGCGUCCGGGUGAGUAACACGUAGGUAAUCGACCUUUAAGACGGGGACAACAUCUCGAAAGAGAUGCUAAUACCUGGUAAGACCACAUUACAUAAGUGGAGUGGUAAAAUGGUGGCCGCUGAAACAAGCUACCGCUUAAAGAAGAGCCUGCGCACCAUUAGCUAGUUGGUGAGGUAAGAGCUUACCAAGGCAACGAUGGUUAGCUGGUCUGAGAGGAUGAUCAGCCACACUGGAACUGAGAUACGGUCCAGACUCCUACGGGAGGCAGCAGUGAGGAAUCUUGCGCAAUGGGGGCAACCCUGACGCAGCAACGCCGCGUGAGUGAGGAAGGUCUUCGGAUCGUAAAGCUCUGUCAGUUGGGAAGAAAUACCUGAGGGUCAAUACCCUUCAGGCUUGACGGUACCAACAGAGGAAGCACCGGCUAACUCCGUGCCAGCAGCCGCGGUAAUACGGGGGGUGCAAGCGUUGUUCGGAAUUAUUGGGCGUAAAGAGCGUGUAGGCGGCCUGAUGUGUCAGAUGUGAAAGCCCUGGGCUUAACCCAGGAAGUGCAUUUGAAACUAUCAGGCUCGAGUAGGGGAGAGGGAAGUGGAAUUCCUGGUGUAGAGGUGAAAUUCGUAGAUAUCAGGAGGAACACCGGUGGCGAAGGCGACUUCCUGGCCCUAUACUGACGCUGAGACGCGAGAGCGUGGGUAGCAAACAGGAUUAGAUACCCUGGUAGUCC
RNAcentral lists this ribosomal RNA (810 nucleotides) under uncultured bacterium. RNAcentral's name for it is "bacterial SSU rRNA". It matches the Rfam family "Bacterial small subunit ribosomal RNA", at positions 8 to 796 of the family's 1533-position model. The record is from RNAcentral.